UUGAACGCUGGCGGAAUGCUUUACACAUGCAAGUCGAGCGGCAGCGCGGGGGCAACCUUGGCGGCGAGCGGCGAACGGGUGAGUAACAUAUCGGAACGUACCCAGACGUGGGGGACAACUAGUCGAAAGACUAGCUAAUACCGCAUACGUCCUGAGGGAGAAAGCGGGGGAUCGCAAGACCUCGCGCGUUUGGAGCGGCCGAUAUCUGAUUAGCUAGUUGGUGGGGUAAAGGCCUACCAAGGCGACGAUCAGUAGCGGGUCUGAGAGGAUGAUCCGCCACACUGGAACUGAGACACGGUCCAGACUCCUACGGGAGGCAGCAGUGGGGAAUUUUGGACAAUGGGGGCAACCCUGAUCCAGCCAUUCCGCGUGAGUGAAGAAGGCCUUCGGGUUGUAAAGCUCUUUCAGCUGGAACGAAACGGUAGUCUCUAACAUAGGCUGCUAAUGACGGUACCAGCAGAAGAAGCACCGGCUAACUACGU
RNAcentral lists this ribosomal RNA (482 nucleotides) under uncultured bacterium. Its description in RNAcentral is "bacterial SSU rRNA". It matches the Rfam family "Bacterial small subunit ribosomal RNA", at positions 30 to 506 of the family's 1533-position model. The record is from RNAcentral.